Molecule: ribosomal RNA, 468 nt
Filed under: uncultured bacterium
Lineage: Bacteria
Description: partial 16S ribosomal RNA
Rfam family: Bacterial small subunit ribosomal RNA
Source: RNAcentral
GACGAACGCUGGCGGCGUGCUUAACACAUGCAAGUCGAACGGAAAGGCCCUGCUUUUGUGGGGUGCUCGAGUGGCGAACGGGUGAGUAACACGUGAGUAACCUGCCCUUGACUUUGGGAUAACUUCAGGAAACUGGGGCUAAUACCGUAUAGGAGCUCCUGCUGCAUGGUGGGGGUUGGAAAUUUUAGGCGGUUGGGGAUGGACUCGCGGCUUAUCAGCUUGUUGGUGGGGUAGUGGCUUACCAAGGGUUUGACGGGUAGCCGGCCUGAGAGGGUGACCGGCCACAUUGGGACUGAGAUACGGCCCAGACUCCUACGGGAGGCAGCAGUGGGGAAUAUUGCACAAUGGGCGGAAGCCUGAUGAAGAAACGCCGCGUGCGGGAUGCCGGCCUUCGGGUUGUAAACAGCUUUAGCCUGUGACGAAGCGUGAGUGACGGUAAUGGGUAAAGAAGCACCGGCUAACUACGUG